GGAGGGGGCGGAGAGCAGCGCAGCGCAGUCCUCGGGGGCCCUCCGCGCCGCCAGCACCCCGCUUUCUCCAGGGGACCCUUCAGUGAUUUGCCCCCUCCCCGGUCCCUCUCGUUUGUGCACGGGGCGCUGCGUGCAACCCCCGGCGGCGGCCGUCGGAGCGUUGUGCGGGACUAUGGGGCCCUCUAGUGCGGAACGUGCGCGGCUCUGCCCAGCACCGCCGCCACCUUCGGGUUCCUUCGGGUUCCUGCUGCGGCCGCUUUGGGGCGAUCUCCGGAGCUUGCACGCACGGGGCUUUGUGAGAGGGCAGAGCGAGGAGAGAGUGGUGUCGCGCUUUUUCCUGUGCAACUCACUUUCUCUUGGGUAUCUUUGCUCUGCAAGAUGCAUCUUCCUUCCUUUUUCUGCCCGUCUCUUCGUUCUUUUUUGUUGUUUUACUGCAGCUGCUGAUGUGGGACGGUUUUAUCUCUUCCCCCCUUCUUUGCCGUAUGGGAGGACCGCAACAAUUUCCCACUGCUCUGCUUCACCCUGACUCUGAAGCUGCAGAUUGUUAAGGCGACAGCCGCCAAGUCACCCUAUGGCCAGGUUGCUCUUUGGACUUCUUUGCCAUCAGGAAAAUGCACUCUGCAGGAUUUGAAGCACAAACCCCGGACCUGGCACUGUCUUCCCCAGGUCUGCAUCUUUGUGCCACCCCAACCCCACUGGCCACGCUAGUCCCACGGCCACCUCAGCCCCAUUGGCCACUCCAACCCCUUUGGCCACUCAACUCCCACAGUCCCCCCAACACCAUGGCCUCUCAGCUGCAUGGGCCACCUCAAUCCCACUGGCCACUCAGCUCCCACAGCCACCCCAGCACCAUGGCCACUCAACCCCCCAUGGCCACUCAACUCCGUGGCCAACCCAACCCCACGAGCACCCCAUGCACCGAGGGCUGGGAGAAGCGGCAGCCCAAGCCCACCUCACCUCCCACCAGCUCAAGAGAUCCUGAGCCAGCCGGUGAAAUCCAGCAGCUCUUGCUCCUCAGGGCUGAGCGCCGGCUCACAGCCGUUCUCCUCAUAGGCCCCUGCUGCAGCUGUGGAUUCCGGGGGGGCUGCAAGCUGCUGGGGCUGUCCAUUGCUACUCUGAGCACGGUCACCCGCUAUGGGCUUCGCUUCUCCACCAUCAGCAACGUCGCCCUCGAGAGCAGCUCCUACCGGGCCAUCCACCACACAGCUUUCUACGUCGGCGUCUGCCUCAGCAUGACCCUGAUCCUCGCAGCCCUGCUGAGCGCGGUCGCCACGGUGCGGGAAUCACGGUGCCUCACGGCCACGGCGUUUUUCUGCUUUGCUCUGGCCUUCUGCGGGCUAAUACCAGCUGCCUUUUGGAGGUACAUGCACAGCACAGAGGUGGAGGACAGCAUGCUGGAUGUGUACGACCUCAUGUAUGAGGAGGUGAGGAGGAACGGCUCCAGCUCCAGAUGGCAUGAGCUGACUGUCAUCCACGAAGUAGUAAGCUAUCGUCCAGACUUCACAGAAUCCUUGUUCUGGAGUAUCUCCCCAUUGAUUCAAACAGUGCUGCAUUACUGUUUUCCCUUGGAACCAGCCUAUUGCCAUGUCUGUAUGCGUUUCUGUGCUGUGGGAAGCACUCCCCGCUUGGAGACACAGCUGCUGUUGAGCACAGGCUGUGCCCUCCCAGCACAGUGUGGGCUGCUGGACGGGACUGCCUACAAGAGAUGCAUGGCUUCCUGAAGAAGCACAUGGGCUUAGUCUCCACACUCCUGGGCAUCACCAUUGGCUUCACGGUUUAUGGGAUGGUUCUGACUUCUUUCCUCUGGUUCUCCAUCCACUUCAGCAACAACCUGGGCCGGAAGGGCAAAUACACCUUGCGAGGAAGGUAGAACCCUGUCUCUCCCAGGCUUCCCUACCAGGCAGAGCCAGAUCUCAUUGCAGGUUGAUGCCUGGACUCCUCCACCAAUCCUCCAGGAAGGCGUUGCAUCGCUUGCCUGUGUGCAUUUCCAAGCUGCUCCAUCUGGGUGGAACACUGGGGAACAGCAGUCCUGCAUCUUUGCUGAGAAUGGAUGAGGACUGAGAUGCACCUGGGUUUGGAGAUGCGGGUUAUCUCACUGGGAGAAGGACAGAGUGUAGCACAAGGAGAACACACAUAGCGCCUUAGGACAGAACCUAAAUAAAGCCCGUCCAAAAUCAUAGCAUUAAACCAAACUUCUGCACUGUCAUACGAGAAGUUUCCUGUGACCCCAGAAGAUGUGACUUCUCUAGGGUGAGAGCUUUGGACCACAGCGUGGGACCAAUCUGCCAUUGGAAAAUACGUGUACAUUGGGUGUGGUAUUGAAAAAAAGGAGCUGUGCUCUCCUACCUGGGACAGUGUUCAUCAUUGCCUUUGGGCAGGUUUCAGACCACCCUGGAGUACGUCAGCACCCAGCCACCACUACUGUUUUUUCCCCUCUUUCAAAGCAUUGCUGGAACUCUUGGUAUAAAGUGAGGAAAAAAAGAAAAUCAAAGUAGUGUAUGAGUUUUGAAACAACCAAGCGGAAUAAGGACAUAUCCUUCUGUAUCUUCCUUCUUUGAGUUUUUGAAAUUCUUAGGAUUUGGUCAGCCUCCUAGAUGCUGCACUAAUUUCACAUGGGCUCCUUCAACAUACUGCCUCAAUUCUGUCUCUUUCUGACUUUGCUAACCUACCACACUGCUGUGAAAUACAAAAGGACUUUGAUAUUGAACAUAUGCAGGGCUUGUGUUUAAAUUAAGGAGAAACGGACUGAUCUCCAGCCACGUAAAACACAACAAUGUCCACUUCCUCUUCUCUCCUCCUUAUCAACAAUAAGGAGGAAUUUGAAAAGCCUCAGCUGAGCUGGAAUGAUGGCUUCCUGGUGUGCUUUGCCCUCAUUGCAAGGAGGCA
RNA transcript from Numida meleagris (helmeted guineafowl), 2886 nucleotides. It is a transcript of the gene named tetraspanin 32, with no coding region annotated. The record is from RefSeq and is a predicted model, not a curated record. The transcript has 8 exons. NCBI's taxonomy places the organism in Eukaryota, Metazoa, Chordata, Aves, Galliformes, Numididae.